This 392-nucleotide unclassified non-coding RNA is filed under the name soil metagenome. RNAcentral's name for it is "partial contains 5.8S ribosomal RNA, internal transcribed spacer 2, and large subunit ribosomal RNA". The stretch from base 1 to 123 matches the Rfam family "5.8S ribosomal RNA", at positions 35 to 154 of the family's 154-position model. The record is from RNAcentral.
GAUGAAGAACGGUAGCGAAAUGCGAUACUUGGUGUGAAUUGCAGAAUCCCGUGAACCAUCGAGUCUUUGAACGCAAGUUGCGCCCGAAGCCACUAGGCCGAGGGCACGCCUGCCUGGGCGUCACACGCCGUUGCCCCCCCAUCUACUCCUUCGGGAUUGCGGGGGGGCGGAUGAUGGCCUCCUGUGCGCCUAGCCGCGCGGUUGGCAUAAAUACCAAGUCCUCGGCGACGCACGCCACGACAAUCGGUGGUUGCGAAACCUCGGUUGCCCGUCGUGUGCGUUCGUCGCGCAUCGAGGGCUCGAAAAAAUGCUCGGCUCCGGCUGGGCUUUCAACGCGACCCCAGGUCAGGCGGGGUUACCCGCUGAAUUUAAGCAUAUCAAUAAGCGGAGGA